This 69-nucleotide transfer RNA is filed under the name Muusoctopus johnsonianus. Its description in RNAcentral is "tRNA-Trp". The record is from RNAcentral. Lineage: Eukaryota; Metazoa; Mollusca; Cephalopoda; Octopoda; Octopodidae.
AGAGUUUUAAGUUAAUUUAAACUGUAAAUUUUCAAGGUUUAUGAUAAAUAUAAAUAUAUUUAAAUUCUG